UACGUAGGGGGCAAGCGUUGUCCGGAUUUAUUGGGCGUAAAGAGCGUGUAGGCGGCCAUACAGGUCCGUUGUGAAAACUCGAGGCUCAACCUCGAGACGUCGAUGGAAACCGUAUGGCUAGAGUCCGGAAGAGGAGAGUGGAAUUCCUGGUGUAGCGGUGAAAUGCGCAGAUAUCGGGAGGAACACCAGUGGCGAAGGCGACUUCCUGGCCUGUUCUUGACGCUGAGGCGCGAAAGCUAGGGGAGCAAACGGG
RNAcentral lists this ribosomal RNA (253 nucleotides) under uncultured bacterium. RNAcentral describes it as "partial 16S ribosomal RNA". It matches the Rfam family "Bacterial small subunit ribosomal RNA", at positions 524 to 776 of the family's 1533-position model. The record is from RNAcentral.